This 623-nucleotide ribosomal RNA is filed under the name Breuilia triangulum. RNAcentral's name for it is "partial 16S ribosomal RNA". The stretch from base 385 to 543 matches the Rfam family "Bacterial large subunit ribosomal RNA", at positions 2473 to 2632 of the family's 2925-position model. The record is from RNAcentral. Lineage: Eukaryota; Metazoa; Arthropoda; Insecta; Coleoptera; Leiodidae.
GGUUUAUUGAUUAUAAUUUUAAGUCUAAUCUGCCCAAUGAUUAUUUAAAUGGCUGCAGUAUUUUAACUGUACAAAGGUAGCAUAAUAAUUAGUUUCUUAAUUAGGGACUGGAAUGAAAGAUUGAACGAGACAAUAACUGUCUUAAUUUAAAUUUAAGAAUUUUAUUUUUAAGUUAAAAAGCUUAAAUUUGUUUAAAAGACGAGAAGACCCUAUAGAAUUUUAUAUAAUUAUAUUAUUUAAAUUUUAGAAUAGGAAUUUUAUAAUUUUUAUAAGAGUAUUUGAUUGGGGUGAUUGAAAAAUUUAAUUAACUUUUUUAAUAAUUUUUACAUUUAUUUAUGUAUAAUUGAUCCAAUGUUUUUGAUUAUAAGAUUAAAUUACCUUAGGGAUAACAGCGUAAUUUUUUUANAGAGUUCUUAUCGAUAAAAGAGAUUGCGACCUCGAUGUUGGAUUAAAGUUCAUUUUUAAUGUAGAAGUUAGAAUAUUAGGUCUGUUCGACCUUGAAAACUUUACAUGAUCUGAGUUUAAAUCAGCGUGAGCCAGGUUGGAUUCUAUCUUUAAUAAAAUUUAAUAUUUUAGUACGAAGGGACCAAAUAUUAGUUAUAAUAAUUAAUUUUUGAAUUAUA